GUGGCUGUAGCUCAGUUGGUAGAGUCCCAGAUUGUGAUUCUGGUUGUCGUGGGUUCGAAUCCCAUCAGUCACCCCA
RNAcentral lists this transfer RNA (76 nucleotides) under Ralstonia pickettii. RNAcentral's name for it is "tRNA-His(gtg)". It matches the Rfam family "tRNA". Rfam says of the family: Transfer RNA (tRNA) molecules are approximately 80 nucleotides in length. Their secondary structure includes four short double-helical elements and three loops (D, anti-codon, and T loops). Further hydrogen bonds mediate the characteristic L-shaped molecular structure. tRNAs have two regions of fundamental functional importance: the anti-codon, which is responsible for specific mRNA codon recognition, and the 3' end, to which the tRNAs corresponding amino acid is attached (by aminoacyl-tRNA synthetases). tRNAs cope with the degeneracy of the genetic code in two manners: having more than one tRNA (with a specific anti-codon) for a particular amino acid; and 'wobble' base-pairing, i.e. permitting non-standard base-pairing at the 3rd anti-codon position. The record is from RNAcentral. RNAcentral also lists the same sequence under 49 other names. Lineage: Bacteria; Pseudomonadati; Pseudomonadota; Betaproteobacteria; Burkholderiales; Burkholderiaceae.